This 484-nucleotide ribosomal RNA is filed under the name uncultured bacterium. RNAcentral describes it as "partial 16S ribosomal RNA". It matches the Rfam family "Bacterial small subunit ribosomal RNA", at positions 30 to 507 of the family's 1533-position model. The record is from RNAcentral.
AUUGAACGCUGGCGGCAGGCCUAACACAUGCAAGUCGAGCGGAAGAAGGGAGCUUGCUCCUGGAUUCCGCGGCGCAAGGGUGUGUAAUGCCUAGGAAUCUGCCUGGUAGUGGGUGAUAACGUCUGGAAACGGGCGCUAAUACCGCCUACGACCUGAGGGAGCAAGUGGGGGGUCUUCGGAACUCUUGCUAUCAGAUGAGUCUAGGUCGGAUUAGCUAGCUGGUGGGGUAAAGGCCUACCAGGCCGACGAUCGGUAACUGGCCUGAGAGGAUGAUCAGCCACAUGAGAACGUAGACACGGUCCAGGCGCCUACGGGAGGCAGCAGUGGGGAAUAGUGGACAAUGGUCGAAAGCCUGAUCCAGCCAGGCCGAGUGUGUGAAGAAGGUCUUCGGAUUGUGAAGCACUUUAAGGUGGUAUGAAGGGCAGUAGGUUAAGACCAAGCUGGUGUGACGGUACCAGCAGAAUAAGCACCGGCUAACUACGUG